RNAcentral lists this ribosomal RNA (543 nucleotides) under uncultured Glomeromycotina. RNAcentral's name for it is "SSU rRNA". It matches the Rfam family "Eukaryotic small subunit ribosomal RNA", at positions 569 to 1111 of the family's 1831-position model. The record is from RNAcentral. Lineage: Eukaryota; Fungi; Glomeromycota.
AGCAGCCGCGGUAAUUCCAGCUCCAAUAGCGUAUAUUAAAGUUGUUGCAGUUAAAAGCUCGUAGUUGAAUUUCGGGGUUAGUAGGUUGGUCAUGCCUCUGGUAUGCACUGGUCUCACUGAUUCCUCCUUCCUGAUGAGCCGUAAUGCCAUUAAUUUGGUGUUGCGGGGAAUUUGGACUGUUACUUUGAAAAAAUUAGAGUGUUUAAAGCAGGCAGUGAUUUGCUUGAAUACAUUAGCAUGGAAUAAUGAAAUAGGAUGGUGGUUCUGUUUUGUUGGUUUCUAGGAUCACCGUAAUGAUUAAUAGGGAUAGUUGGGGGCAUUAGUAUUCAAUUGUCAGAGGUGAAAUUCUUGGAUUUAUUGAAGACUAACUACUGCGAAAGCAUUUGCCAAGGAUGUUUUCAUUAAUCAAGAACGAAAGUUAGGGGAUCGAAGACGAUCAGAUACCGUCGUAGUCUUAACCAUAAACUAUGCCGACUAGGGAUCGGAUGAUGUUAAUUUUUUAAUGACUCAUUCGGCGCCUUACGGGAAACCAAAGUGUUUGGG